UACGUAGGGUGCAAGCGUUGUCCGGAAUUAUUGGGCGUAAAGAGCUCGUAGGCGGUUCGUCGCGUCGGCUGUGAAAUCCCGAGGCUCAACCUCGGGUCUGCAGUCGAUACGGGCGGACUGGAGUACUGCAGGGGAGACUGGAAUUCCUGGUGUAGCGGUGAAAUGCGCAGAUAUCGGGAGGAACACCGGUGGCGAAGGCGGUUCUCUGGGCCUGACCUGACGCUGAGGAGCGAAAGCGUGGGGAGCGAACAGG
RNAcentral lists this ribosomal RNA (253 nucleotides) under uncultured bacterium. RNAcentral describes it as "partial 16S ribosomal RNA". It matches the Rfam family "Bacterial small subunit ribosomal RNA", at positions 524 to 776 of the family's 1533-position model. The record is from RNAcentral.